AACUCUCAAACAAAGGUAGCUUUGUUGCUAUCUUUGUUUGGAUAUAGACUCUGCUGCGUCAGUGCGGCUAGUCUUAAAUGUAUUAGCUGGUCCUUAAGGAGGAUUUGGUUCUACUCAGCGUGAUAAUUAUCUAACGUUGAGGACAGUUUCAGGACUGGCCAGAGCCAUCUUUGGAUUGCUUCUAAUUGAUUGUCCUUGGACAAUAAUUAUUCAAC
Molecule: unclassified non-coding RNA, 215 nt
Filed under: uncultured Sistotrema
Lineage: Eukaryota; Fungi; Basidiomycota; Agaricomycetes; Corticiales; Corticiaceae
Description: partial internal transcribed spacer 2
Source: RNAcentral